CCUACGGGGGGCUGCAGUGAGGAAUAUUGGUCAAUGGGCGCGAGCCUGAACCAGCCAAGUAGCGUGAGGGAUGACUGUCCUACGGGUUGUAAACUUCUUUUAUAAAGGAGUAAAGUGAGGCACGUGUGCCUUUUUGUAUGUACUUUAUGAAUAAGGAUCGGCUAACGCCGUGCCAGCAGCCGCGGUAAUACGGAGGAUCCGAGCGUUAUCCGGAUUUUUUGGGUUUAAAGGGAGCGUAGAUGGGUUGUUAAGUCAGUGGUGAAAGUUUGGGGCUCAACCGUCAAAUUGCAAUUGAUACUGGCAGCCUUGAGUGCGGGUGAGGUAGGCGGAAUGCGUGGUGUAGCGGUGAAAUGCAUAGAUAUCACGAAGAACUCCGAUUGCGAAGGCAGCCUACUAGACUGCAACUGACGUUGAUGCUCGAAAGUGUGGGUAUCAAACAGGAUUAGAUACCCUGGUAGUC
This 460-nucleotide ribosomal RNA is filed under the name uncultured bacterium. RNAcentral's name for it is "partial 16S ribosomal RNA". It matches the Rfam family "Bacterial small subunit ribosomal RNA", at positions 338 to 795 of the family's 1533-position model. The record is from RNAcentral.